Hemicordylus capensis (graceful crag lizard) is the source of this 298-nucleotide long non-coding RNA. RefSeq lists it as uncharacterized. The transcript is spliced from 3 exons. Lineage: Eukaryota; Metazoa; Chordata; Lepidosauria; Squamata; Cordylidae. The record is from RefSeq and is a predicted model, not a curated record.
CUUGGCAGGCCCCAAGGGAGGCAGCAAGCCAGGAAGGAGGCUGGCAGAGUUCCCUGCAACAGACUCUCUGCCCAGACCAUCCAGUACAGCCUUUGCCAGAUACUACCCGAAUGGUAGCUAACAUUUGCUUGGCAGCCAUGAAAAUUGGACAACAAAGGACCGCUGAUGAGAUGUAAUCUGAUCUUGUACACAUGAGGGCUUUGCAUCCCUGCUGAGAUCCUGGAGAGAAAAAAGUACCGGGACAGCAUCCUUGCCUAUCGCUGCACCACUACACAACCAGUGAACAGACAACAAAAUG